Molecule: long non-coding RNA, 1523 nt
Organism: Mytilus californianus (California mussel)
Lineage: Eukaryota; Metazoa; Mollusca; Bivalvia; Mytilida; Mytilidae
Exons: 9
Source: RefSeq, a predicted model, not a curated record
UCAGGGGCAUUACUUAAACAAGUAACAAUUUUUAUGACGUAUUCGCGUUAUUUUUGUCAAAUCUGUAUUUUACUAAAAGAUCAAGCUCUUUCUUAUUCCCAUUCGAAUUUACCGCGGUUUUUUUACCAGUUCCUAGUCUCGCGUGAUUCAUUCGUCAUUUCCCGCGUUUUUAAGAUCACUAGGAUUCAUCAAGACAAAAGCAAAUCGAAAAAAUACAAAUUUGAAGACCAACUUAGAAUGCAAUUUAUGUGAAAGAAAUGGAGGAUAAAGACCACAUGACAAUGAUGACAAAGAAGAUGAAGAGCAGCAUCCUUUAAAUGAAUCAGGACCACAUGACAAUGAUGACAAAGAAGAUGAAGAGCAGCAUCCUUUAAAUGAAUCAGGACCACAUGACAAUGAUGACAAAGAAGAUGAAGAGCAGCAUCCUUUAAAUGAAUCAGGACCACAUGACACUGAUGACAAAGAAGAUGAAGAGCAGCAUCCUUUAAAUGAAUCGGGACCAGAAUGUCAAAAGAAACUAUUUGAAGAUGAGGACAUGGUUAUAGAUGAUAGUUUUCAUGGCAGUUAUGGUUAUAAUAGUGAAGAUGAGAUGAGUCCACUUUACCCUCUGGAUAGUUCCUUGUUGAGUGAAUCAUCGUUUCUAACAGCUUUGGCCUCUGAGUUGAUGGAGGUCCCAGACAAGGUAGUUGGUUUUUCUGCUCAUGUUUUUUUGCUAUAGAUGGUAGAUUUAACAUGUGCAUGGUAUAUUUUUCAGAAAUAACAACAGCAAAUUUGUUUUUCCUUUUUUUCUAAUUCCUUUUCUUAUAAAUGCAUGCAAUGCAUGAAGAUAAUCAAACACCAUAGUUUCCCUACCUCACCGAGGUUGACAGCAGGUCUAGUAACCGAUAGCUAAGCAUGGUUUAAUCUUAAUUUAAACACCACUAGAAAAUCAUAAAAAGGCACACCUCAUCAGAAUGUGGAGAUUUGCCUGCUUCAUAUUUACAGUUUAUUGUAUUGUUGUUUCACUUGAAUUACUAAAACCUGUACAUUACUGUCAAAUCUUUAAGUGAAAAGCGAGCAAGUGCGGGAAGGUCUUCAUCAAUGGACUAAAAUUCUUAAUGUGUCAGUUUUAAGAUGAGUAUUGAAUGAAUUCGAAGGAGUUGACCAAACAUGAUUUUACCACUACCAAUGUUUUAAAUAGACAAUUUUUAUAGGAACUGAUUCUUUCAUGAAGUACUCACGACUCCUUUUGUCGAGAUGAGUGAAAUAUAGGCAUUAGAUGGCAUUAAAUGAAUAGCUAUUAAAAAAUUAUUUAACAAUUACCAUAAUUAGGUAAACAUGUGCAUAAAUAACAAUACCAUGGAAUUCCUAUCAAAUUAAUCAAAAAUUCUUGAGUCUGAUUAAUGAUUGAAAAAUCAUUACUAUCAAGUGAAACAUGAACAGGAUGACCAAUAUUUACCAAUUACUGAAAAUUUAUUAGUUGAAGACGUUUAUCAUGUUUAGGAAAAAGACUUCUAAUUAAUUAUAGAAAUGAGUUCAUUGUU